GAUGAACGCUGGCGGCGUGCCUAAUACAUGCAAGUCGAGCGAACGGACGAGAAGCUUGCUUUUCUGAUGUUAGCGGCGGACGGGUGAGUAACACGUGGAUAACCUACCUAUAAGGCUGGGAUAACUUCGGGAAACCGGAGCUAAUACCGGAUAAUAUUUUGAACCGCAUGGUUCAAAAGUGAAAGACGGUCUUGCUGUCACUUAUAGAUGGAUCCGCGCUGCAUUAGCUAGUUGGUAAGGUAACGGCUUACCAAGGCAACGAUGCAUAGCCGACCUGAGAGGGUGAUCGGCCACACUGGAACUGAGACACGGUCCAGACCCCUACGGGAGGCAGCAGUAGGGAAUCUUCCGCAAUGGGCGAAAGCCUGACGGAGCAACGCCGCGUGAGUGAUGAAGGUCUUCGGAUCGUAAAACUCUGUUAUUAGGGAAGAACAUAUGUGUAAGUAACUGUGCACAUCUUGACGGUACCUAAUCAGAAAGCCACGGCUAACUACGUG
This 497-nucleotide ribosomal RNA is filed under the name uncultured bacterium. RNAcentral's name for it is "partial 16S ribosomal RNA". It matches the Rfam family "Bacterial small subunit ribosomal RNA", at positions 28 to 507 of the family's 1533-position model. The record is from RNAcentral.